Molecule: long non-coding RNA, 243 nt
Filed under: Hordeum vulgare
Lineage: Eukaryota; Viridiplantae; Streptophyta; Magnoliopsida; Poales; Poaceae
Description: long non-coding RNA (HVUL_LNC009502)
Source: RNAcentral
UCCUUACGAAGGGUAAAUAGCUUUGGCAUAUCAUCGUUGUGGCUGUCACGUAGGUAAGAAGGGGUUCUUGCUAGAAACCCAAAUCAGCCACGUAAAACUUGCAACAACAAUUAGAGGACGUCUAACUUGUUUUUGCACGGUUUGACAUGUGAUGGUAUAUGGCCUAAGUGUUGGAAAUAUGCCCUAGAGGCAAUAAUAAAUUAGUUAUUAUUAUAUUUCUUUGUUCAUGAUAAUCGUUUAUUA